GACGAACGCUGGCGGCGUGCUUAACACAUGCAAGUCGAACGGAAAGGCCCUGCUUUUGUGGGGUGCUCGAGUGGCGAACGGGUGAGUAACACGUGAGUAACCUGCCCUUGACUUUGGGAUAACUUCAGGAAACUGGGGCUAAUACCGGAUAGGUGCUCCUGCUGCAUGGUGGGGGUUGGAAAGUUUCGGCGGUUGGGGAUGGACUCGCGGCUUAUCAGCUUGUUGGUGGGGUAGUGGCUUACCAAGGCUUUGACGGGUAGCCGGCCUGAGAGGGUGACCGGCCACAUUGGGACUGAGAUACGGCCCAGACUCCUACGGGAGGCAGCAGUGGGGAAUAUUGCACAAUGGGCGGAAGCCUGAUGCAGCAACGCCGCGUGCGGGAUGACGGCCUUCGGGUUGUAAACUGCUUUCGCCUGUGACGAAGCGUGAGUGACGGUAAUGGGUAAAGAAGCACCGGCUAACUACGUG
This 468-nucleotide ribosomal RNA is filed under the name uncultured bacterium. RNAcentral describes it as "partial 16S ribosomal RNA". It matches the Rfam family "Bacterial small subunit ribosomal RNA", at positions 28 to 507 of the family's 1533-position model. The record is from RNAcentral.